Molecule: long non-coding RNA, 2106 nt
Organism: Acinonyx jubatus (cheetah)
Lineage: Eukaryota; Metazoa; Chordata; Mammalia; Carnivora; Felidae
Exons: 4
Source: RefSeq, a predicted model, not a curated record
CUCAAUGUCUAGAACAGUGCCUGGCAUAUAGUAGACACUUAAUACCUUUUGAAUGACCAUGUGCUUCCUGAGAAAGAUGCAGCUCCAUUUCCCGGUGGUUCUGGGAUGGCUGGGUCAGAGAAAGAAUAGUGCAGAUGGGAGCAGGUGGCCGUGGCCACAGCUGCCAGGAGUGUUCAAUUAUAUCUGGCCAACAGAGGGUCUAGCUCUGUCCCCAAACCUCUGUGGCCACUUCAGCCCUGGCCAGGAACUCACCCAACUUGUGGUUCACGUUGCCCACCUGCAGGGAGAGCAGCUGAGUAAGGUCAGAGCCUGGGUUCUCUUCCUAGCUUGUUCCUGGAACCAGGGACAUCCAUAUAUUCCCUGCUUUAGAACGCUCAGCUUCCAGUCCAGCUGAGAAUGGGGUGAGGGCCAGGAGGGAGACUCUGCUCAGCACUGGAGCUGGAACUGGGGAUAAAGGUGGGGAUGAGGCAGGAACGCAGUGGGGCUUGGCACGGCCAGUGGCGAAGAAAGAAGACAGAGAAGGCCAUAGAGGUGGAAGGACUGAAAUAACGACUGGACGGUGAAAAAGAGGCAAAAAAGAGAAAAAUAGAGACAAACUGAAAGACGGAAGGUGGGAAACACAUGCACAUAGAAAGAGAGGUGGACAGAGAAAGAGGGCGUGCGGUAAUGGGGAGAAAACGGGUCCCUCCAACAUCUCUUCCGCGUAGCGUCUGUCCCAGUCUUCGGCAGCGCUUUCCUGCGACCGCAGACUGGCAAGCCAAAAAAAACUACACUUCCCAGAAUACCUUGUGGUUGGCCGUUCCGGAAGUAGGUUUAGGGUCCACCAAUCAGAUGCCUCCGCGGGAAGCUUGAAUUUCUAACUAAAGUCUGCGGGGAGGGAGGUAGCCGCGAGGCCGCCGCCCCUGCCUCCACCGGUUCCCAGGGCUGGUGCCCUUGCGGAGCCCAGCGGCUGGCUUCCUGAUCUUGCAGGAGGACCAGCAGUUCCUGGGCGGCUAUUUCUGGAGGGUAGAUUUGGAAGUGCCUUGAAGGCUCAGCCUGGAGAGUUUCUUCAUACAGGCUCUGUGUCCCCUAAUAAGUUUACACUGGCCGGAGUGGAUUCUGUUCGCUGCCACUCAGCGAUAAUGGGUACACAGGGAGAAGGAGAUGCGGAGGCGGGCGGAAACAGAAAGUGAUUCAGAGAGGUUGCCGGAUAAAAUCCAGGAUGCCCAGCUACCUUUGGAUUUUAGAUAAGCAACAGCUAAUAUUUAGUUUGGAGGGGUCUCUACAAGUGACCACUGUGUGCUGAGCAUCUCUUCUGUGUCAGGUACUGAUGGGGUGAUGCGCUCGUGGAAUCCUUCUGGAAUAUUCCAGAAGGAAGACCCCCGGGCCACGACCCACCAAAGAGGGGUGCGAGUGGAGAAGGAGUGUCAGUGACUGGCCAUGGCCCAGUACAGGAAGUGCAUGCUCCAUCCCAGUGACGUCACGGGAAAUACCCUGGAGAUCCCACAGGAAGUACUUGCCCCCACGAUAUCCCUGAAGUAGCCUUCAAGGAAGGCUCACUGAGACAUCAUAGGAAGUACCUGUCUCUUCUAUCAUCACAGGAAGUGACCUCUGGGGAACUUCUUCCUGUGACAUCAUAAGGAGUGCCAGAAGCACCCCAGAAAGUACUUGACUCAGUGACAUCCCAACAGAGACCUUCAUUCCCAUCACUCUAAGUAAAACCACCGAAGAUGCCACCGGAAGUUGUUCCAGCCCGUCGCAAGAGUCAUGCCCACAGGACUGGACCAAUCCCAGAGCCGGCCUCAUUCCCAGCAGGCACUGCACACCGCUCCCCCACCAUAACAACCUGACAACAGAACAGUGAACAGUCCCACCUAGAAGGGGCAAUUCCAAGAGGGGUAGAGCGCUGAGAAGAUCUGGGAACUCUGGGGUCCCUGCUCCGAAUACCCCAUUUCAGCUCAGAUUCCUCGGCUACCUCUACUCCCAUCCCUUCCUUCAGAUCUGGAACCGAAAGCAGGAGAGGUGGGGUGUUGUUUUGGGGAGGCCCCUCAUUCUAGGUGGCCCAGAGGCUCCCUCCCCUCCUCCCAUAUGGAAACAAAAACUUCUAAAGGUGAGGGGGGGGGGGUG